AAAGAAAUGGAGCUAGAUAAUAAGUGUAUUUUGAAUAACUAAUUUUUUAUUUGUGUCUCUUAAAAUUAGUUUGAAAAUGAAAAACUGAGUUUGAAAUUGGAAGAUGAGAUAUGUGAAAAUAAAGAUCUUCUGCAAGAAAACAGUGCAACAAGACAUUUAUGUAAUCUGCUCAAGGAAACCUGUGCUCGAUCCACAGAGAAGUCCAACAAAUAUGAACAUGAAAGAGAAGAAACCAGACAUCUAUAUAUGGCACUUAAUAAUAAUAUCGAGAGAAUGAUAUUGGCUUUUGAAGAACUUCGUGGGCAAGCCGAGAACUCCAGAUUGGAAAUGUGUUUUAAAUGUGAGAAUUCUGCCUAACGUUUACAAAACUCAUAAUGUACUUU
This 383-nucleotide long non-coding RNA is filed under the name Gopherus evgoodei (Goodes thornscrub tortoise). Its description in RNAcentral is "lncRNA (ENSGEVG00005007230.1)". The record is from RNAcentral. Lineage: Eukaryota; Metazoa; Chordata; Testudines; Testudinidae.